This 253-nucleotide ribosomal RNA is filed under the name uncultured bacterium. Its description in RNAcentral is "partial 16S ribosomal RNA". It matches the Rfam family "Bacterial small subunit ribosomal RNA", at positions 524 to 776 of the family's 1533-position model. The record is from RNAcentral.
UACGAAGGGGGCUAGCGUUGUUCGGAAUUACUGGGCGUAAAGCGUGCGCAGGCGGCUUCUCAAGUCAGGGGUGAAAGCCCAGAGCUCAACUCUGGAAUUGCCUUUGAGACUGAGUGGCUUGAGUACGAGAGAGGUGAGUGGAAUUCCCAGUGUAGAGGUGAAAUUCGUAGAUAUUGGGAAGAACACCGGUGGCGAAGGCGGCUCACUGGCGCGUAACUGACGCUCAUGCACGACAGCGUGGGGAUCAAACAGG